RNAcentral lists this long non-coding RNA (850 nucleotides) under Homo sapiens (human). RNAcentral describes it as "LNC_000301". Lineage: Eukaryota; Metazoa; Chordata; Mammalia; Primates; Hominidae. The record is from RNAcentral.
CCUCGGUAUCUGCCAACCAGCUGAGCAAUGGCUCCAAGGCAUCUUGAAACUUCCCACAAUGCAACAAAGCUUCCUGUAGCUGUGCAAUUCUUUGUGCGACCUUUUUAUUCAAUGUAUUCCAUCGAGCAUUGAUCUCUUCCAUGUCAUGUUCUAAACCCUGUACAUCACAGUCUUUUCCUGCACUCUGAAUUAAUCCCUGGCCAAGUCCAUUCACCUGCUGCAAUUUCAUCUGAAGAGGAUCCACUUGUUCUUUCUGAAACAUUUUAAAAUCUGCUAAUUGUUGGUUGAUGAUUUCCACUUCGGUCCCCACUACCCACUGGAGGGCCUCUGCCUCCUCUGCUGCUGUGGUCGCGUCAUUGAGUCCUUUCAAUUUCCUGUAGAAGUCCUCUACACGGCCUAGUGUCAGUUCCAGCUGUUCCUGACGAGCUUUCCCCCUCUCUGUCAGUUUGCCACACUGUUUGUUCAGGGCUUCUAGCUCCCUUUUGAGACCUAACAAAUCCAGAGUCCCCUCUUCUUCUAGCAUAUGUCGACACUCUGCUUCAGAGGCCUCUAUGUCUAAUUUGAGGACGUGAAUUUUGUUAAGGAAUAGCCGGACAUCCUCGAUUUGGGACUGGAGGCUAUCAGUGUCUCUGCCAAUAGCACCCAUGCCAUCUAGCUCAUCAUCCAGGUCUGCCAAUUGAGAGAACAUCUCUCGGACCCGGCAGUGAAACUGGCCAAUCCCCUCCAGCUUGUUUUCCAUCAUCACACAACCACUGUUCACUCUUUGCUUAACUUCGAGGAACUCUUGCUGGGCGACCUCAGCUUGGUGGAGAAGUUGAGAAGCAUCAGAUCCAUCUGGGGCAUCUUCUAC